RNAcentral lists this ribosomal RNA (886 nucleotides) under Arthrobacter humicola. Its description in RNAcentral is "bacterial SSU rRNA". It matches the Rfam family "Bacterial small subunit ribosomal RNA", at positions 20 to 917 of the family's 1533-position model. Lineage: Bacteria; Bacillati; Actinomycetota; Actinomycetes; Micrococcales; Micrococcaceae. The record is from RNAcentral.
CCCCGCAGGUGAACGCUGGCGGCGUGCUUAACACAUGCAAGUCGAACGAUGAUCCGGUGCUUGCACCGGGGAUUAGUGGCGAACGGGUGAGUAACACGUGAGUAACCUGCCCUUAACUCUGGGAUAAGCCUGGGAAACUGGGUCUAAUACCGGAUAUGACUCCUCAUCGCAUGGUGGGGGGUGGAAAGCUUUUUGUGGUUUUGGAUGGACUCGCGGCCUAUCAGCUUGUUGGUGAGGUAAUGGCUCACCAAGGCGACGACGGGUAGCCGGCCUGAGAGGGUGACCGGCCACACUGGGACUGAGACACGGCCCAGACUCCUACGGGAGGCAGCAGUGGGGAAUAUUGCACAAUGGGCGCAAGCCUGAUGCAGCGACGCCGCGUGAGGGAUGACGGCCUUCGGGUUGUAAACCUCUUUCAGUAGGGAAGAAGCGAAAGUGACGGUACCUGCAGAAGAAGCGCCGGCUAACUACGUGCCAGCAGCCGCGGUAAUACGUAGGGCGCAAGCGUUAUCCGGAAUUAUUGGGCGUAAAGAGCUCGUAGGCGGUUUGUCGCGUCUGCCGUGAAAGUCCGGGGCUCAACUCCGGAUCUGCGGUGGGUACGGGCAGACUAGAGUGAUGUAGGGGAGACUGGAAUUCCUGGUGUAGCGGUGAAAUGCGCAGAUAUCAAGAGGAACACCGAUGGCGAAGGCAGGUCUCUGGGCAUUAACUGACGCUGAGGAGCGAAAGCAUGGGGAGCGAACAGGAUUAGAUACCCUGGUAGUCCAUGCCGUAAACGUUGGGCACUAGGUGUGGGGGACAUUCCACGUUUUCCGCGCCGUAGCUAACGCAUUAAGUGCCCCGCCUGGGGAGUACGGCCGCAAGGCUAAAACUCAAAGAAUUUGACCGG